UACAGAGGUCUCAAGCGUUGUUCGGAUUCAUUGGGCGUAAAGGGUGCGUAGGCGGCGCGGUAAGUCGGGUGUGAAUCUCGGGGCUUAACUCCGAAACUGCAUUCGAUACUGCCGUGCUUGAGGACUGGAGAGAGUAGAGUAAUUGACGGUGAGCGGUGAAAUGCGUAGAUAUCGUAAGGAAGACCAGUGGCGAAGGCGGGUCUCUGGACAGUUCCUGACGCUGAGGCACGAAGGCCAGGGAGCAAACGGG
RNAcentral lists this ribosomal RNA (250 nucleotides) under uncultured bacterium. RNAcentral describes it as "partial 16S ribosomal RNA". It matches the Rfam family "Bacterial small subunit ribosomal RNA", at positions 524 to 776 of the family's 1533-position model. The record is from RNAcentral.